Non-coding RNA from Lolium perenne, 3934 nucleotides. Lineage: Eukaryota; Viridiplantae; Streptophyta; Magnoliopsida; Poales; Poaceae. The record is from RefSeq and is a predicted model, not a curated record.
CAGAUAGGGACAAUUCAUCCUCUCCUCCAGCGUCCCGCCGACGAGACCAGUGGAACUUGGAAGCAGUCUAAAUAGCCGCACGAAGUGGCCCAGACCCGGCGUCCUCACCGCGACUUCACCGAGCGCCGGCCGCCGCCGUUUCAUCCAGGCGAAAUCCAAGGAGGCGCGUCGCAUCAUGGGAGACUCCGCCAGGCCUCCACCGACGAGCGCGACGAGGACCGUCAUGGGGAGGGCGGCGCGCAGCCGUCGAAUCCGCCACCUCGCCGCCAAGCGAGCAUGAGUCGUGAGGAAGAGGCGCGUCACGGUGAGGACUCCGCCACGCCGCCGUCGACUCUACCACGCCGCCGUCGACGGGCUCGAGGAGGAGGCGCGACACGGGGAGGGCUGCACAAGGCCACCGUCGACUCCGCUGAGCCGUGAAGAGCAGCGGUCGUUCUUCGCGUGCGCCGAGGCGGGCGGCAAGAUCUACGUCGAGACGGCGGCGGCGUCUGCAGCAGUGGCCUCCUCCCUCUUGCCCCUCUCGGAUCCGCGACGGACAGGUCAAGGUAGCCCGUGCGACCUCGCCUCCCAAUCGCGUGGCUGGCCGCUCUACCUCACCCCGGUGGCCUUCCUCCCUUAUCUUUCAAAUUUCCGUGCCAGAUCGAGAUGCGAAAUCUCCCGUCACUGCCCAUUCUUCAUGGUUAUUGGAUGAUGUCCUGAUUGAGUUAGGAUGAACUAAGAUGAUGCAAUUUGUAGUGGGGAGACUACUUUGCUUCUUCUUUUCACGUUAGUGUUUUGGUCCAUCACCUGUGUUCGUUUUCCCGUUUCAAUCGAGCGUCCACUGGUGCCUGCUCAGGCUAGGAAAGAAAAGAUGCAUUUCGUUGGUCGAGGAUGUGUCAUCCUAGAGCUAUCAAUGGAAAAUUCUGGAAAGCUUGCAUUGCAUAUAUCUGGGAAUACAUGGACAAGACACGACAGAAUAUAUAUGAGCUGAACUUUAUUGUUGUAGACCAUGAGAUUCGGCUCGGGUCUGUUAGGUAUAGCACUGUUUUAUCUCGGCGUGGUGCACUCUUCCCGUUGAGAGAAGUAUUAUAAAUAUUGGCAAGUCUGAGUAAAGAUCUAAUGCUCUUCAAGCUACACACCCAUGAAUACACAUUUGCCUGCCCAUCCAUGGCUACUGUUACUCUGUGGGGAUAGCGUGUCGAGACUUUGAUGCAGAAAGCAUUCAUCAGGUUUUUUCUCAAGAUAGUAUAGUUGUGUUGUCCGUAGGAUAGACUGUUGCCCAGUUCUCUGAUAUCUGAAGUUUAGGACAACAUUUAGCUUACUACUCACAUAUAAGCUAAUCACUAAAAAUGUUGCAGGGAUGCUAGCUUUUAAGAGUAACUCUCUUACCCUUUGGUAGAUUAACAUGGCAGUUCCUGAAAUGGAUACUGUGCGCAAUGGGUAAACUAGAUUAUACACUACGGCCUAGCUGCUUGAGAACAAAGUAUCGAACUUAAUUUACAUAUAAUGAUUUGUUGCAGCAUUAAAUGACAACAUUGUAUCAUAGACUGUAAGAGAAGAAGUACAAAGAGCGAACAAGUUGAAACAACACUCAACAGCCACUCGCUUCAGUUUAGGUAGCACUAUGGUUAGAUUGUAUGUACUGUGUAUGAUUUGGUUUCAUCUUGCUCCACAGCCAGAUAUUUCUUUUUUUCCUUACUUCCUGUUGUUGUAAUCAAUGUACUAGGAACUAUUACAUUGUUUAUUUGUAAAUUUGUAAAUUGUUGCAGUAUUCACUUGAAUUACUUUGUUUCAGAUGUUAAAUUUAUUGCAAUAAAUGUUAGAAAUUAUCUUCUCUUUUCUUGCUUCUCUUCUUUGAUCCUUGUGUCCAGGCAGACCAGGAACUGGUACUACCUUCUACGGGCAUACUGCAAGGUACGAAGUUUAAUGCUUAAAUCUUAUUUUUGUUUUAGCUUCAUUCUUGGGACCCUUCUGCGCCUUUAUGACUGCUAUUCUUUGGAGCUUUUGCUAUUUUGGUAUGGUCCACUCUGUGCGUGGGUUUCAGUAACUACACCUUUGACAAACUAUUUAGAUAGCACCUCAGACAUGUUUUUCGACGUGUCCAAAAUUCUGAUCAUUUCAGGCAUAUGAUUCAAUUUUUGUUUCAUAAGUGGAUACUUCGCACACAUGAUAUGUUUUAAAAUUCUAUGAUCAUUGGGUCAUUGGGUAAGCAUUCCUGUUAUUAGCUUUCUGCUAAAGUUGCAAUUUCUAUGAACUCAAUCAAAUUUGCACAGGUAGUCAUGAAUAAAGGCGGUUACAUAGAGUGUAUGUAGAAAUGCACCACUGGUGCAAAAUAAAUACACAUUGCCGGAACCAUCAGUACAUUCUAAAAAUCUAACAGAGUAGGCAAUUUCUAUAUGUGACCAGGUCUUGUGCCAAUGCUUAUUCCUAUGUGUUAUACAAUGACAAUGAUCAUUGGCUUAUAAUUUACCGAAAAACUUUGCAUGUGCACUUAUUGCAUUUAGAGCAGACAGAUUGAGGUUAUAAACUGGUCUAUAAAUCAUGAAACAACACCACAUUCUUUGUUCAUACUUCAUACUUCCCAAAUUGUACAGAAUACAGAAGAAGCACAAAGUGAGCCAUGUAAUCAGAAAACUGAUACAAACACAUGGAGAGGUCACCACAGAGAAUAAGAGAAACUACCUAAUUGGUUAGAGAAUAAUUUAGACUCAGAUUCAGUUUUACCGCUCACAUACAUAUUUCUUGUAGGCAUAUGAACUAUAGAUCCUACGAAGUUCACAAAAAUAUUGGUUUAUCCUAAAGUUACACUGAUAGUUACAACUUUUCAAAACAAGUUCACAAAACUGUUGCUUAUUAUGAGGUUACAGGUUCUAUACCAAAUGGUUGAUUCCGAUUAAUAUCACAGUAAUCGGUAUAGCCUGAAGUUACACUAAUCAAUCUUAAGAGUACUAUAUGCUCAGUUGAUAUUCAGAUAAUCUGCAUAUAUUUUCAUUUUCUAGCUUGACUAUACUGGUGCAUAUCUCAGCCAAGUGAAUCGAAAAUAUAAAACUGUGUGUGCGCUUCCAACUUCAGUUACUCCACCAUGAAGUUGAGGCCCUUAUUCUUGGCUAGAUGUAGAAAUUGAAGCUGGCCUUUUGAGAAAGGCUUUAUUCAGUUAUACGAUCCAGGGAUUCAGGUACAUAUCAAGGGAAAAUCUGAAGCUAUAACAUUUAGUAGGGCUCAGGUAUGAUGCAAGUGCUUACGUAAUUUGUAAUCUUCUUUUACUACAUGGAUAGUAUUUCAACCUUUGUUACAUCUCUGUGCACUAGAUGUUGGCUCUUCAUCUUGAAGCUCUAUGGUUGUCUGAUAAAUAUUUGUAAGCUGCAUCCUUUGUAGAUGGGUAGUUAGUAAGACCAAACUGUUAGCAAGUGUGAUUUAAACAUUCUUUAUAUGAUCACAUAAAAAGGAAAUUUAAAUGGGUAGUUAGUACACUUGUAAGACCCAGCUGUUAAUAAGAUAUUAUUUUGUUUUGUAGUGUGCAUGUUUGGAUUAAGAUCUGGAUUAUUUCUCCGGCUUGAAAACUAUAGAAUGUUGGUUCAAGCGUCAAUACCCACCCUUUGAUCCCGCCGCCUCCCCUCGAUCUGCGAGUGGCAAGCUUGAGUUCCCGACGUCUGGUCGGCUCUAGGGACCCUGCAGCAUCAGAGAGCUUUCUCGCCGCGAACUGCCUGCGGAUCAGGCAUCCCUCCUAAGGUUUUUUUGCAACUGGACAAUGCAUCAUUAUGAUUGUUCUCAACCCAGUUAGCCGAUUCAUGUGUUGUCUAUUGUCCAAGCCCAUGUUAGCAUGGCACCAAAGGUUCAAUUUUGUACGACCUUGGAGUUGUGGUAGUUUUGCUAUGGGCUAUAGCACUUGAGCAAUGCUCCUAUGAAGUUUUUGCGCAGUAAUACAAUAUGGACUUUGUGAAAUUUUGUUCAAUGA